RNAcentral lists this transfer RNA (76 nucleotides) under Candidatus Terrybacteria bacterium RIFCSPLOWO2_01_FULL_40_23. RNAcentral describes it as "tRNA-Cys". It matches the Rfam family "tRNA". Rfam says of the family: Transfer RNA (tRNA) molecules are approximately 80 nucleotides in length. Their secondary structure includes four short double-helical elements and three loops (D, anti-codon, and T loops). Further hydrogen bonds mediate the characteristic L-shaped molecular structure. tRNAs have two regions of fundamental functional importance: the anti-codon, which is responsible for specific mRNA codon recognition, and the 3' end, to which the tRNAs corresponding amino acid is attached (by aminoacyl-tRNA synthetases). tRNAs cope with the degeneracy of the genetic code in two manners: having more than one tRNA (with a specific anti-codon) for a particular amino acid; and 'wobble' base-pairing, i.e. permitting non-standard base-pairing at the 3rd anti-codon position. The record is from RNAcentral. Lineage: Bacteria; Candidatus Terryibacteriota.
GGCCAUGUGGCGAAGUAGCUAACGCGGCGGUCUGCAAAACCGCUAUUCACGGGUGCAAUUCCCGUCAUGGCCUCAA